GAUGAAGAACGCAGCGAAAUGCGAUAAGUAAUGUGAAUUGCAGAAUUCAGUGAAUCAUCGAAUCUUUGAACGCACAUUGCGCCCCCUGGUAUUCCGGGGGGCAUGCCUGUCCGAGCGUCAUUACAACCCUCAAGCUCAGCUUGGUGUUGGGCCCCGCUGCCCCGGCGGGCCCUAAAGUCAGUGGCGGUGCCGUCCGGCUCCGAGCGUAGUAAUUCUUCUCGCUCUGGAGGUCCGGUCGUGUGCUCGCCAGCAACCCCCAAUUUUUUUCAGGUUGACCUCGGAUCAGGUAGGGAUACCCGCUGAACUUAAGCAUAUCAAUAAGCGGAGGA
Molecule: unclassified non-coding RNA, 329 nt
Filed under: soil metagenome
Description: partial contains 5.8S ribosomal RNA, internal transcribed spacer 2, and large subunit ribosomal RNA
Rfam family: 5.8S ribosomal RNA (bases 1-120)
Source: RNAcentral